This is a small nuclear RNA of Papio anubis (olive baboon), 71 nucleotides long. Its record names the gene U7. It matches the Rfam family "U7 small nuclear RNA". From Rfam's summary of the family: Animal histone pre-mRNAs are spliced by a different mechanism than nuclear pre-mRNAs and self-splicing introns. NCBI's taxonomy places the organism in Eukaryota, Metazoa, Chordata, Mammalia, Primates, Cercopithecidae. The record is from Ensembl.
GACAGUUACAGCUCUUUUACAAUUUGUCUUGCAGGCUUUCUGUUUUUGUUUUUUUUUAUCAGAAAGCCUCC